AUGUUCGCUGGCUCCACCAUCGCGCCCAACUGGAAACUGAUCUGGCGCACGUGGGCCCUGCUGCGGAUCCGUGUCUUUGCGUGGCUCGCAAGCCAAGAUCAUUGCUGGUCCGCCGCCCGCCUCGCGCGCCAUGGCCUACCGCAUGACGACCGCUGCAUCUUCUGUGCCCAAGUGCUGGAAACCCUCGAUCACCUUCUCGUACAAUGCCCAUUCUCCCGGACCAUCUGGCACGAGAUCCUCGCCUGGUGCCGGCUGCCAAUUCCCCCUCCGGGCAUCGACGAUUGCUUCCUUGAGUGGUGGGCUUACUCUACCAGGAGGGUUCCUGCGGCCUUGCGGAAAGGUCUUGCCUCCCUCGCCUUUCUCCCUGCGUGGUCCAUCUGGCGCCACCGUAAUGCAUGCAUCUUCGACCACAUGCACCCCUCCACUACGCUACUUCUUCAGGUCAUCAAGGACGACGCUCGGGCAUGGGCUUCUGCCGGGGCCAAGGACAUUGCAAACUUUAUGCCUCCCUGA
RNAcentral lists this ribosomal RNA (513 nucleotides) under Triticum aestivum (bread wheat). RNAcentral describes it as "partial small subunit ribosomal RNA". Lineage: Eukaryota; Viridiplantae; Streptophyta; Magnoliopsida; Poales; Poaceae. The record is from RNAcentral.